GGAGAGGUGGCAGAGUGGUCGAAUGUACCUGACUCGAAAUCAGGCGUGGUGGCAACAUCACCGAGGGUUCGAAUCCCUCCCUCUCCGCCA
Molecule: transfer RNA, 90 nt
Filed under: Comamonas sp.
Lineage: Bacteria; Pseudomonadati; Pseudomonadota; Betaproteobacteria; Burkholderiales; Comamonadaceae
Also listed under: 12 other names
Description: tRNA-Ser
Rfam family: tRNA
About the family: Transfer RNA (tRNA) molecules are approximately 80 nucleotides in length. Their secondary structure includes four short double-helical elements and three loops (D, anti-codon, and T loops).
Source: RNAcentral